RNAcentral lists this ribosomal RNA (182 nucleotides) under Escherichia coli. RNAcentral's name for it is "partial 16S ribosomal RNA". It matches the Rfam family "Bacterial small subunit ribosomal RNA", at positions 1 to 176 of the family's 1533-position model. Lineage: Bacteria; Pseudomonadati; Pseudomonadota; Gammaproteobacteria; Enterobacterales; Enterobacteriaceae. RNAcentral also lists the same sequence under 1 other name. The record is from RNAcentral.
AAAUUGAAGAGUUUGAUCAUGGCUCAGAUUGAACGCUGGCGGCAGGCCUAACACAUGCAAGUCGAACGGUAACAGAAAGCAGCUUGCUGCUUUGCUGACGAGUGGCGGACGGGUGAGUAAUGUCUGGGAAACUGCCCGAUGGAGGGGGAUAACUACUGGAAACGGUAGCUAAUACCGCAUAA